This 20-nucleotide transfer RNA is filed under the name Aegilops bicornis. RNAcentral describes it as "partial tRNA-Asp". RNAcentral also lists the same sequence under 20 other names. Lineage: Eukaryota; Viridiplantae; Streptophyta; Magnoliopsida; Poales; Poaceae. The record is from RNAcentral.
GGGAUUGUAGUUCAAUUGGU